AGGGCACCACCAGGAGUGGAGCCUGCGGCUUWWUUUGACUCAACACGGGAAAACUCACCCGGCCCGGACACUGGAAGGAUUGACAGAUUGAGAGCUCUUUCUUGAUUCAGUGGGUGGUGGUGCAUGGCCGUUCUUAGUUGGUGGAGCGAUUUGUCUGGUUAAUUCCGAUAACGAACGAGACUCUAGCCUACUAAAUAGAUCGUCGGCUUACAAACGCCGAUGAGACUUCUUAGAGGGACAGGCGGCGAUUCAGCCGCACGAAACAGAGCAAUAACAGGUCUGUGAUGCCCUUAGAUGUCCGGGGCCGCACGCGCGCUACACUGAAGUGAUCAGCGUGCAUUUUCAGCCUACUCUGCCAAGAGUGGGAAACCCAAUGAACCUUCUUCGUGAUUGGGAUAGGGGAUUGUAAUUAUUCCCCUUGAACGAGGAAUUCCCAGUAAGCGCGAGUCAUAAGCUCGCGUUGAUUACGUCCCUGCCCUUUGUACACACCGCCCGUCGCUACUACCGAUUGAAUGUUUU
Molecule: ribosomal RNA, 519 nt
Filed under: uncultured eukaryote
Lineage: Eukaryota
Description: SSU rRNA
Rfam family: Eukaryotic small subunit ribosomal RNA
Source: RNAcentral